UACGUAGGGGGCAAGCGUUGUCCGGAUUUAUUGGGCGUAAAGAGCGUGUAGGCGGCCAGGUAGGUCUGCUGUGAAAACUCGAGGCUUAACCUCGAGAUGUCGGCGGAAACCAUCUGGCUAGAGUCCGGAAGAGGAGAGCGGAAUUCAUGGUGUAGCAGUGAAAUGCGUAGAGAUCAUGAGGAAGACCAGUGGCGAAGGCGGGUCUCUGGACAGUUCCUGACACUGAGGCACGAAGGCCAGGGGAGCAAACGGG
This 253-nucleotide ribosomal RNA is filed under the name uncultured bacterium. RNAcentral describes it as "partial 16S ribosomal RNA". It matches the Rfam family "Bacterial small subunit ribosomal RNA", at positions 524 to 776 of the family's 1533-position model. The record is from RNAcentral.